This 253-nucleotide ribosomal RNA is filed under the name uncultured bacterium. Its description in RNAcentral is "partial 16S ribosomal RNA". It matches the Rfam family "Bacterial small subunit ribosomal RNA", at positions 524 to 776 of the family's 1533-position model. The record is from RNAcentral.
UACGAAGGGUGCAAGCGUUGUUCGGAUUCACUGGGCGUAAAGGGUGAGUAGGCGGUCAUAUAUGUCGGGUGUGAAAUCCUGGGGCUUAACCCCAGAACUGCGCUCGAAACUAUUUGACUAGAGUCUCGGAGAGGACAGUGGAAUUCCUAGUGUAGCGGUGAAAUGCGUAGAUAUUAGGAGGAACACCAGUGGCGAAGGCGACUCUCUAGCCUGUUUCUGACGCUGAGGAGCGAAAGCCGGGGGAGCGAACGGG